CACUGCCCAGGAGUUACCAUAUGAUCAGUUACACCUUUUGGUUUACUUUCUUUUAGAUAAAUAAGAUUUCAGUAUUUUACUUAAGCUUGAAAACCUUCACUGCACAUGAACACUUUUAGAUACAAUAUUAAAAUUGUCUUGAUUUACAUUCAUUCUAUUAUUUAUGAAACACAGAAGUAAUGAGAAAUUUGUAAAUGAAAAAAUAAAUAAGGUAUAAAAGCCAGUGUCGGUUCUAGGCGAGCAUAUAUGCGAGGGCAGUCGUAAAUGUGAAGGGAGCAUCGUGGGUACAGAUCAUGCUACAGCAGCAAUUUUCUGGGGGAGUUUUUGCUUAUGACAGUGUUUUCUCCAUGGAAUUGGUUAUUAGCUAUGCAUCCAACCCCCAACCUGGAGACGUGGAGUGCACUUUAUCAGGCCUCUACCCUACGACCUGUCCAGCUUGGGUGUCCCACCUGAAGACUAAGCUUCUGUUGGAAUAGCUCCUAAGGUCACUGAGGCAUGCAAACCCCCUGACCAUGAUAAGGUGGCAAUCCCUUAGGGUGGAAAAUGAAAAAUAAACAUAAAGGAUCCCUCACCCAGAUUUUAACAAUUAACACCAUAACAUAGUUUCUCAGUCGGAUGAGCCUAAUCCUCAAAAUGUGAACUAACAGUAAGACCAUAGCCAGUAUUUACAAAGUGAAAGUUAGUCUUAUUAAAAAUAAUGCCAAGCCUUCUCUCAAACCUUUCAAAUAAAUGUAUAACACAUCUGUGCAUCUGUGGCUGAGAGACGCUCCACUCCAACGGGAACUGACAAAUAUAGAUAGACAGAUGUUAUGUUUACUUUUGUUUUUUGUUGUUAAUUAUCUCCCCACGACCAAUAUGACGGUGCUUUGCCGCUUCCUCCAGGUCUUACCGUUAAACUUAUCUGUGUUGUGUUGCCUCCUUCUCACUGAAAUCUUGCACUCUACGCGCGGCCAUGUUGUGUCUCGGGAACGAGAAUCCUCGCUAGCUUACAGCGGACAGUUUGAUGUGUAAAAUUAAAGAUAGAAAUGAAUUGACGACUCCAAACCGAGCCUUCAUUGAUGUUGUGGUUUAGCGUUGCAUUUAUCAGUCACUUGUCAACCUUUGUUCUCGAAGGUAUUUUUUAAAUUAAUAUAUUAGCCUCGUAAGGAUUGACUGAUAUUACAAUGUAGGUAAUUUUUGGUAACUCCCAUCAAUUUACCUCAUUUGUGAUCUGUGCAGUAUGUCUUUUUAUAUACAGUCUAUGGUGUCUUAAGAUCAUUAAACCAGUCAUCCGUUCAUAUUUACUUAUAUUCAAGGCUGAAACUGUCUCAAUGUGGUAAAUCCUCAUCAUGUGUAGAAGAUCACGGACGGGGCCAGGCGGAUCAGAUUCGACCGGAUAAUCAGCGUUUUCUGCCAAUGACGUGUGUCGUGAUUGGCAGCAACGUGUCUCCUCAUUGGCCACGAGGAGCGCAGAGAGGCGGAGAAACGAAGUCGGAAAACAGAUUUAAACCAAGUUUGAAACAUUGCCUCUGUUUGCUAGUACUGUGAGAUAACGUCGUCACCUCACCGAAGAAGUCUGGAUGCUAAAACAAACUCUGGAGCUGCUUUUUUUGUCGUUAAUGAAAAGGCCUGGAUGCUUAAACAAACUCUGGAGCUGCUUUUUUCUUGAACAGGAGUGAGACAGGACGCUGAACACACCUGCAGCGCGAAGGUGUCACCACUUUGUCCAUGAUCGCAGAGUGUCUUUGUACAAUAAAGAAGUUUUUUUGAAACCAGGACUGAGGCCUCCAGGAUUCAAACUUAAACCAUUAAAUCAGAGAGAGAAGAGGCAGACGUAAAGACAUUUCCAGAAGGUAUUUGGCUGCUGUUGUCUUCUCCUCCUGCAGAGACAAGAACACGUGUUAAUCACAGACACUGAUAAAUGUAUUUUUCCUUUCCUGAAUCUUACCUUUUUUCCCCCCCAGACACACAUACUCACACCUCUACACAGCAUUUAUGGUUACAUUUCGUGUUUGUCAUUUCAUUUUCGAAUUUUGCCAUUUCAAACAGAGCCAUAUCAAUAGUCAAAUCCAAUCUAUUACUAUGUACAUAGUCCUGUUUAUAAUUUUUACGUUACAUUACUCUUGCUUAAAUAAAUACUUCUGAAUACUGAGUAUUUUGCCUGUUUUUUUAAUAUUGUAUGAAAGUGAAUAUCUGUAGCCAAAAGGCCACUUG
Long non-coding RNA from Lates calcarifer (barramundi perch), 2193 nucleotides. RefSeq lists it as uncharacterized. The transcript is spliced from 4 exons. The record is from RefSeq and is a predicted model, not a curated record. NCBI's taxonomy places the organism in Eukaryota, Metazoa, Chordata, Actinopteri, Centropomidae.